RNAcentral lists this long non-coding RNA (299 nucleotides) under Brassica napus (rape). RNAcentral's name for it is "long non-coding RNA (BNAP_LNC020503)". The record is from RNAcentral. Lineage: Eukaryota; Viridiplantae; Streptophyta; Magnoliopsida; Brassicales; Brassicaceae.
GAACGGUAAAGACUACUGGAUUGUGAAAAACUCAUGGGGGUCAAGCUGGGGAGAGAGCGGGUACAUAAGGAUGGAGCGUAACAUUGCAGCUUCAGCCGGAAAAUGUGGAAUCGCUGUGGAGCCUUCAUAUCCGAUCAAAAAUGGCCAAAACCCACCAAACCCAGGACCUUCACCUCCAUCUCCGAUCAAGCCUCCAACCCAAUGUGACAGUUACUACACAUGUCCCCAGAGCAACACUUGUUGUUGUCUCUUUGAGUUUGGCAAGUACUGCCUUUCUUGGGGAUGUUGCCCACUAGAAG